RNAcentral lists this long non-coding RNA (867 nucleotides) under Mytilus galloprovincialis (Mediterranean mussel). Lineage: Eukaryota; Metazoa; Mollusca; Bivalvia; Mytilida; Mytilidae. The record is from RNAcentral.
GUCUUAUCAUAUUUUUAUGUAAAACAUGUUUAUUUUAAAAGUAUUAUAUUCUUUUUUGGUUGCCAGCUGUAUGUAAAAAAGGGUUGAAAAUAAUCAAAUUUUUAAAAUUGUUUGAAAAAAGAAAUCCAAAAUUUUAAAAUGUUUAAAAUGAUGUUUCUUAUUUUACUGUAUUUGUAAUCAAAUAAUUUGUGGAUGAAAACCUUGAUAUUGUACUUUUACAGGCAGUUGAAAUUACUGCAGAUCUUUAGAAAGGAUAAAAUGACUAAAUAUUAAUCAAAAAGUCAUGACAAUCUUCCCUGUUAUGUAUUUAUUUUUUGAAACAGAAGAAAUUAACAAAUAAACAUGAUAAAGAUUAUUUUAAAAUAAGGCUCUAGAAAAAAAGUUUAUUAAAACUCUUUGUAGGACAUGGGACCUAUAAAUAUUGCAAAUUUUAACCUAAUCUUUAUCCCCCAAAAUUAACCUAAAGAGUGUUUCAUGGCAUUUAUAAGUUGAAACAUAUGUCUACUAUUUUUAUCAUCUAAGGAUUGUUCAUUAAACAAUGGUUCCAAUCUUUCCAAAUAACUGUUAUGGCUCAGUAGCGGAUCAAGGGGGAGGGUUUCAGGGUUGGAACCCCCACUUUUUUGACGAUCAAUGCAUUUGAUUGGGGACAUAUGAUUGGGAACCCCCUUUUGAAAAUUUCUUGGAUCUGCCACUUUGGCUUACCCCAUGAGAUUACCAUUAUGUACUGACAGGGCAUUUAGUUAGAAAAGCAAUUAUUCAGUAAGUUGGUGCUGUGUAUUGAAAUGUUAUGUUAUUGUGUAAUGAUUUAUUUUCUUACUUUAGUAUUGUGAUACUGUCAGCUGAGGGAACAGCAAUCAUUUAUUUGCU